Molecule: ribosomal RNA, 393 nt
Filed under: uncultured bacterium
Lineage: Bacteria
Description: partial 16S ribosomal RNA
Rfam family: Bacterial small subunit ribosomal RNA
Source: RNAcentral
AUACGGAGGAUCCGAGCGUUAUCCGGAUUUAUUGGGUUUAAAGGGAGCGUAGGUGGAUUGUUAAGUCAGUUGUGAAAGUUUGCGGCUCAACCGUAAAAUUGCAGUUGAAACUGGCAGUCUUGAGUACAGUAGAGGUGGGCGGAAUUCGUGGUGUAGCGGUGAAAUGCUUAGGUAUCACGAAGAACUCCGAUUGCGAAGGCAGCUCACUAGACUGUUACUGACACUGAUGCUCGAAAGUGUGGGUAUCAAACAGGAUUAGAUACCCUGGUAGUCCACACAGUAAACGAUGAAUACUCGCUGUUUGCGAUAUACAGUAAGCGGCCAAGCGAAAGCAUUAAGUAUUCCACCUGGGGAGUACGCCGGCAACGGUGAAACUCAAAUGAAUUGACGGGG